Molecule: ribosomal RNA, 465 nt
Filed under: uncultured bacterium
Lineage: Bacteria
Description: partial 16S ribosomal RNA
Rfam family: Bacterial small subunit ribosomal RNA
Source: RNAcentral
GACGAACGCUGGCGGCGUGCUUAACACAUGCAAGUCGAACGGAAAGGCCCCAGCUUGCUGGGGUGCUCGAGUGGCGAACGGGUGAGUAACACGUGGGUGAUCUGCCCUGCACUCUGGGAUAAGCCUGGGAAACUGGGUCUAAUACCGGAUAGGACCGUGCUUUAGUGUGUGCGGUGGAAAGUUUUUCGGUGCAGGAUGAGCCCGCGGCCUAUCAGCUUGUUGGUGGGGUAAUGGCCUACCAAGGCGGCGACGGGUAGCCGGCCUGAGAGGGUGUACGGCCACAUUGGGACUGAGACACGGCCCAGACUCCUACGGGAGGCAGCAGUGGGGAAUAUUGCACAAUGGGCGCAAGCCUGAUGCAGCGACGCCGCGUGGGGGAUGACGGCCUUCGGGUUGUAAACCCCUUUCGGCAGGGACGAAGCUUUUGUGACGGUACCUGCAUAAGAAGCACCGGCUAACUACGUG